AGGGAACUUCGGGUCCCAGUGUUACUGCCCUGUCACACCAGCAGUAGAGUCUCCAUCUUAUGAGUCAGAGCUGAGUGGAAGAUGAGAGCCCCAGACUGCUCAGUUGCAUUUGCCUGGAAUUUAGUCUCCACAGCCUGGAGCUGGCAGGGAUUAGUUGUGCUGGCAUCCUGACCUCCCAGGGAAAUAUUAUAUACCUUGACUGGAAGCUGGGGAAGAGGGAACCCUGUCUCCUUGGCACUUCCAUCCAGAAUGAAGCUUCCUUCACAUUUAGCUGGCAAAGAGAGAGGGAGCAAGCAGAUCAUGGCUCAAGAAUACACGGUAAAUGCAACACACGGUAAGAUGGCAAUUAAGCUCCCUGCGUUAGGGAGUAUCACUCACGGUGAUAAUUGGGAAACAUGACAGAGAAUGGGAC
Molecule: long non-coding RNA, 412 nt
Filed under: Homo sapiens (human)
Lineage: Eukaryota; Metazoa; Chordata; Mammalia; Primates; Hominidae
Description: non-protein coding lnc-ZCCHC10-7:1
Source: RNAcentral